This 790-nucleotide long non-coding RNA is filed under the name Homo sapiens (human). Its description in RNAcentral is "non-protein coding lnc-NUP54-1:1". Lineage: Eukaryota; Metazoa; Chordata; Mammalia; Primates; Hominidae. The record is from RNAcentral.
UAAGAGCUGGAAUCUUAGAAGCAAAGUGGAAUUACAUUUGUGGCUCCAUCACUUACUUGUGGUGAUCCUAGGCCUCUCUGAGUCAUAAUUUUCUCAUCUGUAAACCUGGGACAGUAAUACCUACUGUAGGUGACUACUCUAGGAAUUGAAUGAGAUAAUAUCCCAAAAACACCCAGCACAGAGCUGGCACGUGGUACAUGCUCAGUUGGCUCUUGUUGCAAAGACAGUACUUCAGUGGCCUAGUUACAAAACACUCUGAGGAGUGACAGUUUUGUUCUGUCGACUGGAGCCUUCCCUGAUGACUCUAAGGAGACUAGUCAUCAUUUUAAGGAAUCUGCCUUCAGUAUCUUGUGUUUUGAUAAACGUACAGCACAUGGAAUUGCUAGACAGACUGGAAUCUAACUUUUGGGGUACAUGUUUGCAAAGAUAACUAAGAAAUCAGCAAAUUCUGGGUAAUUUAAGAAAUAAGUGUACUAGAAUCUUCAUAUAAAUGUGUCUGUCCGGGAAAGUGUGCCAUUGUGAUGAGGAUGUUUCUGAAACAAUCUCAUCCUUUGUCUUUGUAGUGAAACGGGAGACAUUAGAACCAUGGUUUUCCCAGUGAUGUACCUCAAUGAGAGUGUUCACAUUGAUAAAGAGACGGCGAGUCGACUGAAGUCUAUGAUUAACACUACUUUGAUCAUCACCAACAUACCCUACAUCAUCAUGGCGCUGGGUGUGUUCUUUGGUUUGGUUUUUACCUGGCUUGCAUGCAAAGGACAGGGAUCCAUGGAUGAGGUGAGAACUGGCUGAA